This 392-nucleotide transfer RNA is filed under the name uncultured Cryomorphaceae bacterium. RNAcentral's name for it is "16S-23S ribosomal RNA intergenic spacer". The stretch from base 112 to 185 matches the Rfam family "tRNA". The record is from RNAcentral. Lineage: Bacteria; Pseudomonadati; Bacteroidota; Flavobacteriia; Flavobacteriales; Cryomorphaceae.
AGAGGUCUCAAUCUAUACUUUUUAAAAUCUUUCCUUCUUAUCUUCAAAUAUUUAACUUAUUUAACCCAGAAAAGCUCAGUGGUUUUAGGCUUCUGGCUUUAGGGUAUUAAUAGUCCUAUAGCUCAGUUGGUUAGAGCGCUACACUGAUAAUGUAGAGGUCCACAGUUCAAAUCUGUGUAGGACUACACAAUACGCCUUUCUUGGGGGAUUAGCUCAGCUGGCUAGAGCGCCUGCCUUGCACGCAGGAGGUCAACGGUUCGACUCCGUUAUUCUCCACUAACAGUGACCUAUUUAUUGGAAACUGGAUAAGUUCUUUGACAUGUUGUUGAACAAUAAACUAAAAUAUUGUGAUUACUCGUUGUAAUGGUACGUUUACCAUUACAAUUAAUUAU